Molecule: transfer RNA, 68 nt
Filed under: Eurynassa australis
Lineage: Eukaryota; Metazoa; Arthropoda; Insecta; Coleoptera; Cerambycidae
Description: tRNA-Gly
Source: RNAcentral
AUUUAUGUAAUAUAAUUAUUAUAUCUGACUUCCAAUCAGAAAAUCUAGUAAUUUCUCUAGCAUGAAUA